Molecule: ribosomal RNA, 212 nt
Filed under: uncultured archaeon
Lineage: Archaea
Description: partial 16S ribosomal RNA
Rfam family: Archaeal small subunit ribosomal RNA
Source: RNAcentral
ACCGGGAUUAGAUACCCGGGUAGUCGUAGUCGUAGGCGAUACUCGCUAGGUGUCGGGCAACAGUGCGACCGUUUCGGUGCCGUAGGGAAGCCGUGAAGCGAUCCACCUCGGAAGUACGACCGCAAUGCUGAUACUACUUAGAAGUAUUGGCGGNGNAGCACCACAAGGGGUGAAGCUUGCGGUUUAAUUGGAUUCAACGCCGGAAAUCACUA